RNAcentral lists this ribosomal RNA (928 nucleotides) under uncultured bacterium. Its description in RNAcentral is "bacterial SSU rRNA". It matches the Rfam family "Bacterial small subunit ribosomal RNA", at positions 8 to 928 of the family's 1533-position model. The record is from RNAcentral.
AGAGUUUGAUCAUGGCUCAGAACGAACGCUGGCGGCGUGGAUUAGGCAUGCAAGUCGUGCGUGAAAGGGGAGCAAUCUCCGAGUAAAGCGGCGAACUGGUGAGUAACAGGUGGGUAACGUGCCCUGAAGUGGGGGAUAACACCGGGAAACCGGUGCUAAUACCGCAUGUGGCGUCAAGGACUCUGGUCCCUGCCGCUAAAGCAGCAGUGCGCUUCAGGAUCGGCCCGUCCCCGAUUAGCUUGUUGGUGAGGUAAUGGCUCACCAAGGCGACGAUCGGUAGCUGGUCUGAGAGGAUGGUCAGCCACACUGGAACUGAGAUACGGUCCAGACUCCUACGGGGGGCAGCAGUCUAGAGGCUUCGUCAAUGGGGGCAACCCUGAACGAGCGACGCCGCGUGUGGGAUUGAAGGCCUUCGGGUCGUAAACCACUGUCAUUGGGGAAGAAUGCCCGGAUGGCGAAUCCGGGAGCGACGGUACCCAGGGAGGAAGCCCCGGCUAACUCCGUGCCAGCAGCCGCGGUAAUACGGAGGGGGCAAGCGUUGUUCGGAUUUACUGGGCGUAAAGGGUGUGUAGGCGGCUGGAUAAGUCUGGCGUGAAAUCUUCACCGCUUAACGGGAAGGGGUCGCUGGAAACUGUUCAGCUUGAGUAUGGUAGAGGCAAGCGGAAUUCCUGGUGUAGCGGUGGAAUGUGUAGAUAUCAGGAAGAACACCGGUGGCGAAGGCGGCUUGCUGGGCCAUCACUGACGCUGAAACACGAAAGCGUGGGGAGCAAACGGGAUUAGAUACCCCGGUAGUCCACGCUGUAAACGGUGCGCACUAGGUGUGGGGGGUAUCGACCCCUCCCGUGCCGACGUUAACACAUUAAGUGCGCUGCCUGGGGAGUACGGCCGCAAGGUUGAAACUCAAAGGAAUUGACGGGGGCCCGCACAG